GACGAACCGUGCGAACGUUGUUCGGAAUCACUGGGCUUAAAGGGCGCGUAGGCGGGUUCCCAAGUCCGGGGUGAAAUCUUUCGGCUUAACCGGAAAAUAGCCUCGGAUACUGGGAGUCUUGAGGGAGGUAGGGGCAGCUGGAACUUCCGGUGGAGCGGUGAAAUGCAUAGAUACAAUCAAGAACACCGAUUGCGUAGGCAGCUAACUAGGCUGUAACUGACGCUGAGGCACGAAAGCGUGGGGAGCGAACAGG
Molecule: ribosomal RNA, 253 nt
Filed under: uncultured bacterium
Lineage: Bacteria
Description: partial 16S ribosomal RNA
Rfam family: Bacterial small subunit ribosomal RNA
Source: RNAcentral